This 984-nucleotide ribosomal RNA is filed under the name Triticum aestivum (bread wheat). Its description in RNAcentral is "partial small subunit ribosomal RNA". Lineage: Eukaryota; Viridiplantae; Streptophyta; Magnoliopsida; Poales; Poaceae. The record is from RNAcentral.
AUGGUUCUCCUUCCAAAAACCCAAGCGCCAACAUCCCCUGACGCAUUUAGACCCAUCUCUCUACAAAACUGCACGCCAAAAGUAGUUGCCAAAGUCCUCACAAGUAGAGUUAAACCUCUCCUCCCACUGCUCAUACAUUAUGAUCAGACGGGCUUCCUACAUGGACGUAACAUUGCUGAAAAUUUUAUCUAUGUUGCUGAUAUUCUCAGUGCGUGCCACACACGUAAAGCCCCGACCAUGGUCUUCAAGCUCGACUUCAGGAAAGCCUUUGACUCCAUAUGCUGGUCCUCCCUCAUACAAAUCUUACAAGCCCGCGGUUUUCCCUCCAUUUUCUGCUCUUGGGUACAAAAUAUCCUUCUCACUAGGAAAACAACUAUUCUUUUAAAUGGCGUUUCGGGGUCCUGGAUUCAAUGUAGAUGUGGCCUCCGCCAAGGUGACCCCUUCUCGCCGUACUUGUUCAUCAUCGUUGCUGACAUCCUUCAACGACUAAUCGCCAAAGCAUUCCAAACCAACGUUAUUUGCCACCCGUCACGGCCGAACGAACCACCCGUGACACUUCAAUAUGCUGAUGACACCCUGAUAAUUGCUGCUGCUAGCGACGCCGCCACCAUAAUUCUCAAAAAUUCCCUUCACGAUUUUGCCCUUGCAACGGGGCUAGUCAUCAACUUUCAAAAAACAGCUCUUCUCACCAUAGCCACCGACGCUUCCAUGCAAAACAACAUUGCCGCAUCUAUUGGUUGCUCCUUAUCUUCCUUUCCGCUAAUUUAUCUAGGUCUACCCCUCUCCCCCACUAAACUGCCUUUCACAGCCUUUAACCCGAUCAUAGAUAGCUAUAGGAAAUUCCUGUUUGGUUGGGUGGCCCGCCUGCUCUCUCAUGGGGCACGGCUCACCCUUCUAACUGCGGUCCUAGACUCCUUAACUGUUUAUUUCAUGUCCAACUUUCGCCUACCUAAGUGGAUCUUAGCCAAACUUGACGCCAUUUGA